UGAACUCGCUGUGAAGAUGCAGUGUACCCGCGGCAAGACGGAAAGACCCCGUGAACCUUUACUAUAGCUUGACACUGAACAUUGAGCCUUGAUGUGUAGGAUAGGUGGGAGGCUUUGAAGUGUGGACGCCAGUCUGCAUGGAGCCGACCUUGAAAUACCACCCUUUAAUGUUUGAUGUUCUAACGUUGACCCCUAAUCGGGGUUGCGGACAGUGUCUGGUGGGUAGUUUGACUGGGGCGGUCUCCUCCUAAAGAGUAACGGAGGAGCACGAAGGUUGGCUAAUCCUGGUCGGACAUCAGGAGGUUAGUGCAAUGGCAUAAGCCAGCUUGACUGCGAGCGUGACGGCGCGAGCAGGUGCGAAAGCAGGUCAUAGUGAUCCGGUGGUUCUGAAUGGAAGGGCCAUCGCUCAACGGAUAAAAGGUACUCCGGGGAUAACAGGCUGAUACCGCCCAAGAGUUCAUAUCGACGGCGGUG
Molecule: ribosomal RNA, 474 nt
Filed under: Escherichia coli
Lineage: Bacteria; Pseudomonadati; Pseudomonadota; Gammaproteobacteria; Enterobacterales; Enterobacteriaceae
Description: bacterial LSU rRNA
Rfam family: Bacterial large subunit ribosomal RNA
Source: RNAcentral